GGGCACUCAAAGUGGGGUGUCAGGAAAAUAAAAUCUCACCAAAGGAGAUGGUCGUGGACUUCAGGAAACAGUAGAGGGAGCACCCCCCCCAUCCACAUCGACGGGACAGCAGUGGAGAAGGUGGAUAUUUUCAAGUUCCUCGGCGUACACAUCACGGACAAACUGAAAUGGUCCACCCACACAGACAGAGUGGUGCAGAAGGCGCAGCAGCGCCUCUUCAACCUCAGGAGGCUGAAGAAAUUUGGCUUGUCACCUUAAACCCUCACAGACUUUUACAGAUGCACAAUUGAGAACAUCCUGUCGGGCUGUAUCACUGCCUGGUACGGCAAAUGCACCACCCACAACCGCAGGGCUCUCCAGAGGGUGGUGCAGUCUGCACAACGCAUCACCGGGGGAAAACUAUCUGCCCUCCAGGACACCUACAGCACCCGUUGUCACAUGAAGGCCAAAAAGACCACACGAGCAACUGUCUGUUCACUACGCUACCAUCCAGAAGACGAGGCAGAACAACAUGGUUGUGGACAGAAUUGCAAAAUCUCCACUUGAAACCUGGACGGAGUCUGAGGCCAAAGUGAGGGAAAUUAUCUCGGAGAAACUGAAGAGGGACAGCAGAUUGAGAUGGAGCAUGCCAACAUGACUGUUAAACCCACCACUGGCCCAGGUAACAGUCCCAGGCCGAUAGUGGUCAAGUUCUUGAGGUUCAAGGACAAGGUAGCUGUUCUGGAAAGAGCCAAGAACUUGAGAGGAAUGUAUAUCUUCCUCAACGAGGGCGACUCAGAAGCUGUGCGCCAGAAGAGGAAAGAACUUACCUGCCAGAGCGUGUGGGGACAUUGCUUACAUCCGCUAUGACAAUAUAUGUAGUCUUAGAAAUAAGGUUCAUGAAAUCAAUAACUUGCUAACAUCAGAUAACAUUCAUAUAUUAUACAUUUCUGAGACUCACUUAGAUAAUUUAUUUGAUGAUACAGCAGUAGCAAUACAAGGACAUAACAUCUAUAGAAGAGAUAGAAAUGCUUACGCGGGAGAUGUUGCUGUAUAUAUUCAGAGCCUUAUCCCUGUAAUGCUUAGGGAAGAUCUUAUGUCAAGUGUUAUUGAAUUGUUGUGGUUGCAGGUGCACCUGGCAUAUCUAAAGCCUUUUAUUUUGGGGUGUUGCUAUUGGCCACCAAGUACUAACAGUCAUUAUCUACACUGAACAAAAAUAUAAACGCAACAUGUAAAGUGCUGG
Oncorhynchus tshawytscha (Chinook salmon) is the source of this 1222-nucleotide long non-coding RNA. NCBI's taxonomy places the organism in Eukaryota, Metazoa, Chordata, Actinopteri, Salmoniformes, Salmonidae. The record is from Ensembl.